This 223-nucleotide long non-coding RNA is filed under the name Elaeis guineensis (African oil palm). RNAcentral's name for it is "long non-coding RNA (EGUI_LNC073397)". The record is from RNAcentral. Lineage: Eukaryota; Viridiplantae; Streptophyta; Magnoliopsida; Arecales; Arecaceae.
UGAUGAAGUUCGAAGGAAGCUCGGAGUAAAAUCGAUUGUGGCUAGGAGAAGUCUAGAAGAGAUUUGGAGAAUAGUCGACCACCGUAGAGAAUCGGCUGAUAGUAAAGCUCAGAAAAGCAUUUGGAGCAGCCCGGUAGAUGAAUGGAAGAGCUCAUUGUCGAAGAAGUCUGGAUGGUAUUAUGAAAGCUCGGAUGGUCGAGGGAGAUCAGAAAGACACCACACA